ACCGAAAGCGGCGGGCUGGGCUGGUGUGGAGCGGAGAGCCGGGCUAGGGACGGGCACAGGGACACCGAAAGCGGCUUUUCCUGAUGCUUCCAGGUCCAGUCUUAAGUGCACCAUCCAGUUGAGCUGUGUUGGUUUGUUACUGAUCAAUGUAGUGCUUGUCCUGCCCGCAGGCUCUGGGCUUUUCACUGCCCUGUGGCCUUGGUUCGUGUGUUGGAAGUGUUUGCUGAGACACAGAGUGCUGGUGUUGGGAAGCAGCAGCUCCGUGACUUGGGGCUGCUGCUGCUUUAGGAGUUUCAUCUUUGUGCCUUUUUUUUGUCAAUUCGGUGUGCCCCAGUGAGACAAGGGCUGCAGUGGGUGUUCUGCAGAGCUCCAGCACAAUAUUGCCACGCAGCAAAAGCAGAGAAAUAAUAACAGCCACAACUGGGCACUGUUCUCACUGGAUGCUCAGUAAAAAAGAGACUCCUUGAAAUAAAGGGCUCAAAGGAAAGUGUUUCCCUUUGGAUGUGUUUCCUUUUGGAUGUGUGAAAUGCAGGAUUGCCGAGUGACAGUCUGCAGAAAUUCAGUCAUUCUUUGUUUGUGGGAACUGCCCUGGAGAAGGAAGUGAGUGCAAAAGCUCCACAAGCCCUACAAAAGCAGAUCCAGGCAGGCUGCAGAGCAGGGAUUGCUGGAUGCAGAGUGGGAAUUCUUUGUUCUUCUGGUGCAUUGAAGCAGUUGCCAUUAGGAUUUUAUUUGGUGAUGCAGUCUCCUGAAUUUCAUCUUGUCGGAGUGCCCUUUGUGGGGAGGGGGCAUCACUUCUGGAAGAAUUCUCAAGUAUCUUGGUUUAGGUAAAAUACAGUAACUAAAGUACUUUUUAUAAUUUUUAUGGGAAAAGUAGUGCGUAGACUUCCUUUGGAAUAAACUGUACUUCUUUAAAUGUUUGCAAAUCCCUGUGUUUUGUGUGUGUGUCUAUGAGCACUCCUGUGUUUUACAGAACACGCUGCAGACUGUAAAUAAAACUACCAGAAAGGUGUUGAAGUCUUGUGCACUGAAUGUACCAUUUAAUGGGAAAGUGAAUAAAUGAUUAACCAGCAGUUGCUAAGUGGAUGCUUCCUGCAAAUAUCUGAAAUCUUUGUGGUGUUUGUGUGCAGGUUUCAGCUGGAGUUGCCCUGGCAUUGCCUCCCAGAGGGGCAGGAUUGCUCCCCAGGAAGUUCUCCAGCCAGAAGUCCCUCUGGAUCCGGAUUAUUUUUUUUUUAAAAGUUUAGUUUGUCUUGGCUUUUUCUUUUUUUUUUUCCUGCCCUUUCUGGUUUGUCUCUCCAUGUUCUUAUUUUACAGAGGAACCCCUCCCCAGCCUGGCCAGAGCCGCAGCCUCCUUCAUGUGCCGCUGCCUCACUCGCUGCUGCCGUGCUGGCUCAGGAAUGUGCUCAAAGCCCGGCUAAGCAGGAAUUGUUCCGAGCCUGCUCUGUUUAAUCGCUGCCGCCGCGAGCAAAGCUGCCCCGCUCCUUGAGGGGAGCGCUCGCUGCAGCCCGGCAGGAAAAGAGCCCAGGAAAAGCCGUGCUCUCUGCAGGAGAAGCGCUGGGAGCAGAGGGGAGAGCGGGAAAAGGGAACGAGAGCAGCUGGGCGGGCGGGACGGCAUCAGCGCUGAUUCCUCCGUGGGCAGGGCCGCAUCACAAAUAGUCCCUCGGGCGGAUCCCUCCGCGGGCGGGGUCGCAUCACCGCUGAUUCCUCCGCGGGCAGGACCGCAUCACAAAUAGUCCCUCGCGGAUCACUCCGCGGCCAGGACCGCAGCACCCUGCGCGGGUGCCUCCGGCGGAUCCCUCUGUUAUAAAUGGUGCUGGAAUUGCCUGUCUGGACGUAUGCUGAGCUCUCGCUGCUGUGGACUGUGCAGCCUUAAUUGCUGCAGGUUCCUGUUCUUCUCACCAGCUCAAAGUACACGUGGGGUUUUUUUGCCCUUCUAUAUAGAGCUGUUGAGUUUGGGUGAUUUUCCUGUAUUGAGGAUAUUGAAGGUCGAGAAGGAAGAUUUGUCUCUUUUUGUGCUUUUCUGUUGUUUUUAGCACCUGCUCAGCAUCUGAACGUGGUUGGAAUAUUGGAAACAUAAAAGGUUUUGGAUUCAGUGCUUA
Corvus hawaiiensis (hawaiian crow) is the source of this 2096-nucleotide long non-coding RNA. RefSeq lists it as uncharacterized. The transcript is spliced from 2 exons. Lineage: Eukaryota; Metazoa; Chordata; Aves; Passeriformes; Corvidae. The record is from RefSeq and is a predicted model, not a curated record.